UACGUAGGGUGCGAGCGUUAAUCGGAAUUACUGGGCGUAAAGCGUGCGCAGGCGGUUCGUUGUGUCGGCGGUGAAAGCCCCGGGCUCAACCUGGGAAUGGCCGUUGAAACUGGCGAACUGGAGUGUGGCAGAGGGGGGUGGAAUUCCGCGUGUAGCAGUGAAAUGCGUAGAGAUGCGGAGGAACACCGAUGGCGAAGGCAGCCCCCUGGGCUGACACUGACGCUCAGGCACGAAAGCGUGAGGAGCAAACAGG
This 253-nucleotide ribosomal RNA is filed under the name uncultured bacterium. RNAcentral's name for it is "partial 16S ribosomal RNA". It matches the Rfam family "Bacterial small subunit ribosomal RNA", at positions 524 to 776 of the family's 1533-position model. The record is from RNAcentral.